UACGGAGGGUGCGAGCGUUAAUCGGAAUUACUGGGCGUAAAGCGCACGUAGGCGGUUUGUUAAGUCGGAUGUGAAAUCCCCGGGCUCAACCUGGGUGCUGCAUUCGAUACUGGCAGGCUUGAAUACGGUAGAGGGGGGUGGAAUUCCAGGUGUAGCGGUGAAAUGCGUAGAGAUCUGGAGGAACACCAGUGGCGAAGGCGGCCCCCUGGACCGAUAUUGACGCUGAGGUGCGAAAGCGUGGGGAGCAAACAGG
RNAcentral lists this ribosomal RNA (253 nucleotides) under uncultured bacterium. Its description in RNAcentral is "partial 16S ribosomal RNA". It matches the Rfam family "Bacterial small subunit ribosomal RNA", at positions 524 to 776 of the family's 1533-position model. The record is from RNAcentral.